Molecule: ribosomal RNA, 236 nt
Filed under: uncultured bacterium
Lineage: Bacteria
Description: partial 16S ribosomal RNA
Rfam family: Bacterial small subunit ribosomal RNA
Source: RNAcentral
CGGCGGGUGGAGUAACACGUAUCCAACCUGCCGUCUACUCUUGGACAGCCUUCUGAAAGGAAAGAUUAAUACAAGAUGGCAUCAUGAGUUCACAUGUUCACAUGAUUAAAGGUAUUCCGGUAGACGAUGGGGAUGCGUUCCAUUAGAUAGUAGGCGGGGUAACGGCCCACCUAGUCUUCGAUGGAUAGGGGUUCUGAGAGGAAGGUCCCCCACAUUGGAACUGAGACACGGUCCAA